RNAcentral lists this ribosomal RNA (221 nucleotides) under uncultured bacterium. RNAcentral's name for it is "partial 16S ribosomal RNA". It matches the Rfam family "Bacterial small subunit ribosomal RNA", at positions 113 to 334 of the family's 1533-position model. The record is from RNAcentral.
CGACGUGGGUAACCUGCCUCAUACAGGGGGAUAGCAGCUGGAAACGGCUGAUAAAACCGCAUAAGCGCACAGCAUCGCAUGAUGCAGUGUGAAAAACUCCGGUGGUAUGAGAUGGACCCGCGUCUGAUUAGCUGGUUGGUGAGGUAACGGCCCACCAAGGCGGCGAUCAGUAGCCGGCCUGAGAGGGUGACCGGCCACAUUGGGACUGAGACACGGCCCAA